RNA transcript from Delphinapterus leucas (beluga whale), 4202 nucleotides. It is a transcript of the gene named phosphatidylglycerophosphate synthase 1, with no coding region annotated. The record is from RefSeq and is a predicted model, not a curated record. NCBI's taxonomy places the organism in Eukaryota, Metazoa, Chordata, Mammalia, Artiodactyla, Monodontidae.
GGAAGCGGCGAGUCUCCAUGGCGGCGGCGGCUACGGCGGUGGCGGGGCCGGUGUUCUGGAGGCGGCUGCUGGGCCUCCUGCCUGGCCGCCCUGGGCUGGCCGCUCUCCUGGGGCGCCUGUCCGACCGACUCGGCAGGAACCGGGACCGCCGGCGCAGGAGGCCACCAUGGCUGUUGUUGGCGCCUCUGCUGUCUCCAGCUGUCCCCCAUGUCACCUCGCCUCCUUGCUGUCUGUGUCCGGAGGGUGUGCAUCGCUUCCAGUGGAUCAGAAACCUGGUUCCAGAGUUCGGAGUCUCCAGCUCUCACGUCAGGGUGCUUUCUUCACCUGCAGAGUUUUUUGAGCUCAUGAAGGGGCAGAUAAAAGUAGCCAAGAGGCGGGUCGUGAUGGCGUCCCUCUACCUGGGGACAGGUCCUUUGGAACAGGAACUGGUGGAUUGCCUGGAAAGCACUCUAGAAAAGUCACUCCAGACAAAGUUUCCUUCCGACCUCAGGGUGUCCAUUCUCUUAGACUUCACGCGGGGCUCAAGAGGAAGGAAAAACUCUCGCACGAUGCUGCUCCCACUCCUGCAGAGGUUUCCAGAACAGGUCCGAGUGUCUCUCUUCCACACGCCUAACCUCCGUGGGCUCCUCCGGCUCCUCAUCCCCGAGCGCUUCAACGAGACCAUCGGCCUGCAGCACAUCAAGGUGUACCUCUUCGACAACAGCGUCAUCCUGAGCGGCGCAAACCUGAGUGACUCCUACUUCACCAACCGGCAGGACCGCUACGUAUUCUUGGAGGACUGUCCUGAGAUUGCGGACUUCUUCACGGAGCUGGUGGACGCGGUGGGGGACGUGUCCCUGCAGUUGCAGGGGGACGACACGGUGCAGGUGGUGGAGGGGAUGGUGCAUCCUUACAAAGGUGACCAGGCUGCGUAUUGCAAGGCAGCCAAUCAGAGGGUUAUGGAUGUGAUCAACUCAGCCAGGACCCGCCAGCAGAUGCUGCAUGCCCAGACCUUCCACAGCAAGGCCCUCUUAACCCAGGAAGAUGCAGCAGCCGCUGGAGACCAGAGGCCAGCCCCAGACACCUGGAUUUACCCAUUGAUCCAGAUGAAGCCCUUUGAGAUUCAGAUCGAUGAGAUUGUCACUGAGACCCUGCUGACAGAGGCCGAGCGAGGCGCUAAGGUCUACCUUACCACUGGCUACUUCAACCUGACCCAGUCCUACAUGGACCUGGUCUUGGGCACGCGAGCCGAAUACCAGAUCCUGCUGGCCUCGCCGGAGGUGAACGGCUUCUUCGGGGCCAAGGGGGUGGCAGGUGCCAUCCCAGCCGCCUACGUGCAUAUUGAGCGGCAGUUCUACAGUGAGGUGUGCAGCCUGGGGCAGCAGGAGCGGGUCCAGCUGCAGGAGUACUGGCGGAGGGGCUGGACGUUUCAUGCCAAAGGCCUCUGGCUGUACCUGGCAGGGAGCAGCCUGCCCUGUCUCACGUUGAUUGGCUCUCCUAAUUUUGGGUACAGGUCAGUUCACCGGGACCUGGAGGCCCAGAUCGCCAUUGUGACAGAGAGCCGGGCCCUGCAGCAGCAGCUUCACCAGGGGCUCCCCCCCAGCUCCUUACAUCCUGGAGGACAUUUUCUUUCCCUGCACGGGAAGAGGACACUGCCCUCACUGGCAUGUGAAUGUGGCGCUGGUUCCCAACCUCUUCUGAGACUGCGGAUCAGCUAUGCGAGGGGAGCAGGCGCAGCUCUACCUGAGGUCUGGUGCGGUGUCCUCUGCCACCUUUGAGCAGCCGAGCCGGCAGGUGAAGCUGUGGGUGAAGAUGGUGACUCCGCUGAUUAAGAACUUCUUCUGAGGACAGCAGAUGCCUUAGGUGAUGCACAAAGUCAGGGAGCCCUCGAGCACCUCAGCAAGCCCCGGCCACGUGCCCGCUCGCCUGUCCUCAGCCGGGCAGCCCCACCUCGCUUCUGCCCGACAGCGACUGCGCUUCCCGCUGACUCCAAGCGGCCAGAGCAUCUCCCCAAAGCCCAGCAGCCCGUCCGCGUCCUCCCGGCCCCCACGUCCCCUGCCAGAGGCCCCAGCGGGCUCCACGCACCGUGGGGAGCUGCUCCCCGGGCUCAGAGGCUCUUGCAUUUUCUGUUGCUUGCCCCUCGGGCGUCAGCUGUCUCUACCUCGACACCCACCCCCCGGCCAAGCCUGGCUCGGGAGCCACUCUGCGGCCUGGAGCAGGCCCCAGACUCCUGCAAGUGGGGGACCAGCUUCCUGCCGACCUCGCCACCCUCCGCCACUCCAUCACUGACUGAUAUUCUAGCAAAAUAUGAUAGAAAUGAAAAACGGAUCACGUGCUCGGAUUGACAGUGAUGUCGAAAUGCUACAGAAUUCACUGCGUGCCUCCUCUCCACCUCCGUACUGACUCAGCACAGACAGAAGCAAACAGCUCUGGGACCCCGCACUGGCCUGCGGCCCCCAGUGUGAGCUGCGUCGCCCUGGGGUUUCCGUGCAUGUCCCCACAUGUUCAUCACACCCUGUUCUCACUCCUGUGAACGCGUCCACGCCCCUCACCAGACUAGGCCAGUCACCCGCGUAACGGGUCUUGUUCACUGUUCCCUGAGCCUACCACGUCCUGGGCACACGGACGUACUGUUUGGAGGAAGGACCCGGUCUGCACAUCUGUUUUCAUGCUUUCCAUUCUCUGUGACUUUACACUCUGACCUUGGUGGGUCCUUUAAGCCCAUAGGGAGAGGUUAGUGGAUGACUCAGAUAUUGUCACAUAAAUUAAUCAGAUAUAGACGUUACACAACAUUGGCACAAUGUGCUCCAUACAUAAUCUUUGUUGGGUGUUAUCAGAGAAUAUGGGGUCUCUUCUUCAAAACGGUUUUAGACUCACUUGGGAGACCAAAUGCGUGCACCCAGAAAGUUCUAGUAUAGAACAGAUGAAGAUCAGGUACCAAAAGAAUGGACGUAGAUGCUGGGGAUUUGCAGAGGGGAGCAGGGGUGCCAGGGAAGGCUACACACUUGGCAGGUUGGGGACUGGGAGGUUUGGAUGGGGGAGGAGUCACGUGAACAAAGGUCCAGGCGGACACAGCGUGGACAGGCAAGCCGAGGCCCCCCUACCCACCCUGCAGGGCCAGGGCACCCGGCGUCCCUCCACAAGGCAGUGGGGCCUACUUGUCGAGGGAGGAAGACUGGGCCCGGGACCAGAGCACGGAGACCUGUGUGGCGGGCACUACCGCCCUCCCGUCUGUCACCACCGCCCUCCAGCCGGGCGCUGCGGCCCCAUCCCCUUCGCACCCGGCCUUCCCACAGCAUCGCGUCUCACGGGGAGUGAGAGCAGGGGUCUGGGCAGCACUGUGGCCCCAGCAAGGCUGAAUGACCCUCAGGGAACCACCUCGGGAGCUCGGCCCCUUCCUAAGGUGCUCGGACAAGCAGUGGACCCGGCCCACACUUACCGGGCCUCACGUGCAGGUCAUGAAACUGAUGGAUGAUACGCGCUUCUGCUCUUUGAAGCUGUGCGCCAGGCACUUUAGAUCAUUUGCAUUUUGCACAGUCCUUCGGGGAUCUGUUCAUUUUGUGGCUCAAGGAGUGUGUGCGCGUUGGGGAUGGCGUGGGUGGGAGAGAACCGGCAGGUGCUGACGCUGGGCCAGGCACGGGACACGGGGGGAGGCCACGCUACCUGGGUGAAGAGGUCCAGGGCCUUGUGCAGGUUGGCGUACAUGCCCGUGGGCGGCUCGUUGGUGAUUUUGAUGGCGUUCUCCAGGAUGCCCUGGGGGAUGAUGUGGGACUCGGGGCUGGGGGCCGGCUCGGCACUGAUGAACACGCGGUAGUCAUCGUGGCUGCCGACGCUGUACCGCUCCAGCUUCUUGUCCAGGGUGCUCAGCCACUGGGCCACCAGGUGGAUGUUCUGCAGCCAAGACCAGGGCUUAGUGCCCGCAUACUCCUCUCCACCCCGGGCCCAUAGGGCAGGCCCCUCCCCAAUGGCACCCGCACUCCCCACCCCGCUGUCCGCCCUUCCCGGGGCGCUGGCCACGCUUGAUAAUUUCACUGAGCAACUGAGUCCCCAGAGUUGAAGCUUGUUCUCAGUUCGUUCAGGACCUCCAGCCUUGCGGCGAGUCCUUCCUGCCCUCCACCAGCAUAAGGGCUGAGAAUUAUACGGUCCCCACCCCUCCUCUGAGAGGCUUGAGUAAAAAGAAAUGACUUGGAGGGACUUCCCUGGUGGCGCAGUGGUUAAGAAUC